UUUACAACUUUCAACAACGGAUCUCUUGGUUCUGGCAUCGAUGAAGAACGCAGCGAAAUGCGAUAAGUAGUGUGAAUUGCAGAAUUCAGUGAAUCAUCGAAUCUUUGAACGCACAUUGCGCCCCUUGGUAUUCCAUGGGGCAUGCCUGUUCGAGCGUCAUU
RNAcentral lists this ribosomal RNA (161 nucleotides) under uncultured Ascomycota. RNAcentral describes it as "5.8S ribosomal RNA". It matches the Rfam family "5.8S ribosomal RNA". From Rfam's summary of the family: 5.8S ribosomal RNA (5.8S rRNA) is a component of the large subunit of the eukaryotic ribosome. It is transcribed by RNA polymerase I as part of the 45S precursor that also contains 18S and 28S rRNA. Lineage: Eukaryota; Fungi; Ascomycota. The record is from RNAcentral.